AUUUGCUUACAAUCAUUCAGAGCACUAUGUAGCAAUACAGUGUGAUGGACUGCCUUUUGCAUAAUGAGCCUGCGAGUUGUGGUGUCUGGCAAGGUUAAGCAAACGCGAAGCCGUAGCGAAAGCGAGUCUGAAUAGGGCGCUUAGUCAGAUGCUGCAGACCCGAAACGAAGUGAUCUAUCCAUGAGCAAGUUGAAGCUAGUGUAAGAACUAGUGGAGGACUGAACCCAUAGGCGUUGAAAAGCCCCGGGAUGACUUGUGGAUAGGGGUGAAAGGCCAAUCAAACUUCGUGAUAGCUGGUUCUCUCCGAAAUAUAUUUAGGUAUAGCGUUGUGUCGUAAUAUAAGGGGGUAGAGCACUGAAUGGGCUAGGGCAUACACCAAUGUACCAAACCCUAUCAAACUCCGAAUACCUUAUAUGUAAUCACAGCAGUCAGGCGGCGAGUGAUAAAAUCCGUCGUCAAGAGGGAAACAACCCAGACUACCAGCUAAGGUCCCUAAAUCUUACUUAAGUGGAAAACGAUGUGAAGUUACUUAAACAACCAGGAGGUUGGCUUAGAAGCAGCCAUCCUUUAAAGAAAGCGUAAUAGCUCACUGGUCUAGUGAUUUUGCGCGGAAAAUAUAACGGGGCUAAAGUAAGUACCGAAGCUGUAGACUUGCACACAACUUAGAUUAUUUAAGUUUAGAAUAUGAGAAACUAAGUUAUGUUUAGUUAUAUUUUUACUGAUUUUUAUAGAGUAAAGAUAGAAAUAAAACUUAGUAAAAUCAGUAAAAAUAUUCUUAGGCUAAAGUUAAGUAGUUUAAGUUGUGUGUAAGUGGUAGGAGAGCGUUCUAUUUGCGUCGAAGGUAUACCGGUAAGGAGUGCUGGAGCGAAUAGAAGUGAGCAUGCAGGCAUGAGUAGCGAUAAUUAAUGUGAGAAUCAUUAACGCCGUAAACCCAAGGUUUCCUACGCGAUGCUCGUCAUCGUAGGGUUAGUCGGGUCCUAAGUCGAGUCCGAAAGGGGUAGACGAUGGCAAAUUGGUUAAUAUUCCAAUACCAACAUUAGUGUGCGAUGGAAGGACGCUUAGGGCUAAGGGGGCUAGCGGAUGGAAGUGCUAGUCUAAGGUCGUAGGAGGUUAUACAGGCAAAUCCGUAUAACAAUACUCCGAGAACUGAAAGGCUUUUUGAAGUCUUCGGAUGGAUAGAAGAACCCCUGAUGCCGUCGAGCCAAGAAAAGUUUCUAAGUUUAGCUAAUGUUGCCCGUACCGUAAACCGACACAGGUGGGUGGGAUGAGUAUUCUAAGGCGCGUGGAAGAACUCUCUUUAAGGAACUCUGCAAAAUAGCACCGUAUCUUCGGUAUAAGGUGUGGUUAGCUUCGUACUAGGAUUUACUCCGAAAGCGAAGAAACUUACAACAAAGAGUCCCUCCCGACUGUUUACCAAAAACACAGCACUCUGCUAACUCGUAAGAGGAUGUAUAGGGUGUGACGCCUGCCCGGUGCUCGAAGGUUAAUUGAUGGGGUUAGCAUUAGCGAAGCUCUUGAUCGAAGCCCGAGUAAACGGCGGCCGUAACUAUAACGGUCCUAAGGUAGCGAAAUUCCUUGUCGGUUAAAUACCGACCUGCAUGAAUGGCGUAACGAGAUGGGAGCUGUCUCAAAGAGGGAUCCAGUGAAAUUGUAGUGGAGGUGAAAAUUCCUCCUACCCGCGGCAAGACGGAAAGACCCCGUGGACCUUUACUACAGCUUGACACUGCUACUUGGAUAAGAAUGUGCAGGAUAGGUGGGAGGCUUUGAGUAUAUGACGCCAGUUGUAUAUGAGCCAUUGUUGAGAUACCACUCUUUCUUAUUUGGGUAGCUAACCAGCUUGAGUUAUCCUCAAGUGGGACAAUGUCUGGUGGGUAGUUUGACUGGGGCGGUCGCCUCCCAAAUAAUAACGGAGGCUUACAAAGGUUGGCUCAGAACGGUUGGAAAUCGUUCGUAGAGUAUAAAGGUAUAAGCCAGCUUAACUGCAAGACAUACAAGUCAAGCAGAGACGAAAGUCGGUCUUAGUGAUCCGGUGGUUCUGUGUGGAAGGGCCAUCGCUCAAAGGAUAAAAGGUACCCCGGGGAUAACAGGCUGAUCUCCCCCAAGAGCUCACAUCGACGGGGAGGUUUGGCACCUCGAUGUCGGCUCAUCGCAUCCUGGGGCUGGAGCAGGUCCCAAGGGUAUGGCUGUUCGCCAUUUAAAGCGGUACGCGAGCUGGGUUCAGAACGUCGUGAGACAGUUCGGUCCCUAUCUGCCGUGGGCGUAAGAAGAUUGAAGAGAUUUGACCCUAGUACGAGAGGACCGGGUUGAACAAACCACUGGUGUAGCUGUUGUUCUGCCAAGAGCAUCGCAGCGUAGCUAAGUUUGGAAAGGAUAAACGCUGAAAGCAUCUAAGCGUGAAGCCAACUCUAAGAUGAAUCUUCUCUAAGCUCUCUAGAAGACUACUAGUUUGAUAGGCUGGGUGUGUAAUGGAUGAAAGUCCUUUAGCUGACCAGUACUAAUAGAGCGUUUGGCUUAUCUUUAAUAAAGCAU
RNAcentral lists this ribosomal RNA (2529 nucleotides) under Campylobacter jejuni. Its description in RNAcentral is "partial 23S ribosomal RNA". It matches the Rfam family "Bacterial large subunit ribosomal RNA", at positions 558 to 2925 of the family's 2925-position model. Lineage: Bacteria; Pseudomonadati; Campylobacterota; Epsilonproteobacteria; Campylobacterales; Campylobacteraceae. The record is from RNAcentral.